GCGUGGGAACCUACCCUUAGGUACGGAACAACAGUUGGAAACGACUGCUAAUACCGUAUGUGCCCUAUGGGGGAAAGAUUUAUCGCCUAAGGAUGGGCCCGCGUUGGAUUAGCUAGUUGGUGAGGUAAUGGCUCACCAAGGCGACGAUCCAUAGCUGGUCUGAGAGGAUGAUCAGCCACACUGGGACUGAGACACGGCCCAGACUCCUACGGGAGGCAGCAGUGGGGAAUAUUGGACGAUGGGCGAGAGCCUGAUCCAGCCAUGCCGCGUGCAGGAAGACUGCCCUAUGGGUUGUAAACC
This 300-nucleotide ribosomal RNA is filed under the name uncultured Hyphomicrobiaceae bacterium. RNAcentral describes it as "bacterial SSU rRNA". It matches the Rfam family "Bacterial small subunit ribosomal RNA", at positions 115 to 431 of the family's 1533-position model. Lineage: Bacteria; Pseudomonadati; Pseudomonadota; Alphaproteobacteria; Hyphomicrobiales; Hyphomicrobiaceae. The record is from RNAcentral.